RNAcentral lists this ribosomal RNA (253 nucleotides) under uncultured bacterium. RNAcentral describes it as "partial 16S ribosomal RNA". It matches the Rfam family "Bacterial small subunit ribosomal RNA", at positions 524 to 776 of the family's 1533-position model. The record is from RNAcentral.
UACGUAGGGGGCAAGCGUUGUCCGGAAUCAUUGGGCGUAAAGAGCGCGUAGGCGGCCCUGUAAGUCCGCUGUGAAAGUCAAGGGCUCAACCCUUGAAUGCCGGUGGAUACUGCAGGGCUAGAGUCCGGAAGAGGCGAGUGGAAUUCCUGGUGUAGCGGCGAAAUGCGCAGAUAUCAGGAGGAACACCGAUGGCGAAGGCAGCUCGCUGGGACGGUACUGACGCUGAUGCGCGAAAGCCAGGGGAGCGAACGGG